CCUACGGGAGGCAGCAGUGGGGAAUAUUGGACAAUGGGGGCAACCCUGAUCCAGCGAUGCCGCGUGAGUGAUGAAGGCCUUAGGGUUGUAAAACUCUUUCAGAUGGGAAGAUAAUGACGGCACCAUCAGAAGAAGCUCCGGCUAACUCCGUGCCAGCAGCCGCGGUAAU
This 169-nucleotide ribosomal RNA is filed under the name uncultured bacterium. Its description in RNAcentral is "partial 16S ribosomal RNA". It matches the Rfam family "Bacterial small subunit ribosomal RNA", at positions 338 to 524 of the family's 1533-position model. The record is from RNAcentral.